CUCCAGAUGUUGUUAGACUGCAACUCCCCUGGUUACAGGCGAUGGGAUUUGUAGUCUAACAACAUUCAGGG
This is a non-coding RNA of Podarcis lilfordi (Lilford's wall lizard), 71 nucleotides long. The record is from the annotation of a GenBank genome assembly. NCBI's taxonomy places the organism in Eukaryota, Metazoa, Chordata, Lepidosauria, Squamata, Lacertidae.